AUUGAACGCUGGCGGAAUGCUUUACACAUGCAAGUCGAACGGCAGCACGGACUUCGGUCUGGUGGCGAGUGGCGAACGGGUGAGUAAUGUAUCGGAACGUGCCAGUCGUGGGGGAUAACGUAGUGAAAAUUACGCUAAUACCGCAUACGAUCUAUGGAUGAAAGCGGGGGAUCGCAAGACCUCGCGCGAUUGGAGCGGCCGAUAUCAGAUUAGGUAGGUGGUGGGGUAAAGGCCCACCAAGCCAACGAUCUGUAGCUGGUCUGAGAGGACGACCAGCCACACUGGAACUGAGACACGGUCCAGACUCCUACGGGCGGCAGCAGUGGGGAAUUUUGGACAAUGGGCGAAAGCCUGAUCCAGCCAUUCCGCGUGCAGGAUGAAGGCCCUCGGGUUGUAAACUGCUUUUGUACAGAACGAAAAGGUUUCUACUAAUACUAGGAGCUCAUGACGGUACUGUAAGAAUAAGCACCGGCUAACUACGUGCCAGCAGCCGCCGUAA
This 499-nucleotide ribosomal RNA is filed under the name uncultured bacterium. RNAcentral describes it as "partial 16S ribosomal RNA". It matches the Rfam family "Bacterial small subunit ribosomal RNA", at positions 30 to 523 of the family's 1533-position model. The record is from RNAcentral.